This 1198-nucleotide long non-coding RNA is filed under the name Zonotrichia albicollis (white-throated sparrow). RNAcentral describes it as "lncRNA (ENSZALG00000010828.1)". The record is from RNAcentral. Lineage: Eukaryota; Metazoa; Chordata; Aves; Passeriformes; Passerellidae.
GAAUGAAAGUUUAAAUUUCUACUCUUACACGAAAAACAAAAAUGGGGAUAUUGGAAAAUAGAAAUAGGGAUAUUUGGAAAACGGCUUCUGAAAUAACUUAAGAAAACCUAGCUUUUAUAAAAAUGGUGAUUAAAGGCAGAAGUUGUAGAAUGCUCAGAAGAUGUAGAAAACAAACCAAAUCCAAAGCAAUAAUUUUGCCAGUCAUGCAGUGAAAGAAGUUCAAGUGCUUAUAUUUCUGUUCCACCAUUAGCUGUAUUUAAUUAUAAGAACUGAACAGAGCUGUGUCUACUUUUCACAACAAAAAUCACAUCAUUAAAGAUUUAUUUAUUGAAUAUAUUUGCACACAAAUACAGGAGCUCAAUAAAACGUUGAUAAGCAGCAAACAAGAUAUCUGCCCAGGGACUUCCUUCCCAGCAGCCUGCAAAGCUCCAGCACCACAGCAAGCACCCACUCCCAAAACAACAUUUUAAACUGCUACACGUCAAAAAGCUGAAAAAUACAUAAUUACAUUAUCAGGAUCACGGACUCACUACCUUUGAUUUUUCACUGCUUGAAAGAAGGCUCAAAGUCCACAGGAGCUGUGCCUACCUUUGGAGCACGGAAGGAUUCAUGACCCAGGUAAAGAGUUCCAGACUUCACUGAAAACCAGAGGUGGGCACAUGAAGUCAGGAAUGCUGCCCAGGCACUAAUAAACUCUUCCAGACACUAGAAUCAACAUUUUUGUUCGGAUUUUAUCCCAAGCUUGGGAGAGGCACAGAAGAAAAAGGGCGAGUUUAUUUCUGCCCAGAAAACGCUGCCGUGUUUAUCAGGAGCUUCCUUCCAUGGGAGCCAGAGGCACAGGCAGCGCUGACACACCGAGCGGUGAGGAAGAGGAAGGGCGGGUGGCCUGGCAGCACCCGACACCUCCUUUAUAUGGCCAGUGCAGGCCCGCUGCCGUGCCUGCAGCUUGGCAUCCUGCUCGGAAAGGCUGAGCCAGCCCGGCCGCUCCUGCGCGCUGCCCGGGGAGCAAAGGCUCCACACCUCGGGUGCGUGUGACACGGCAAGCUCGGCGUGCUCCCACAGCAGGGCACUCACAUCUAAAGGCAACGCUUAUCUCCUCGAGCGAGCGCCGGUACCGUCACUGCAGUGCAGAUAGCGCCACUGCAGCGCCACGGCCCCAGCAGCCUCGGAGCACAGCCGGGGCUCCGGCCGGCCGCGG